RNAcentral lists this long non-coding RNA (680 nucleotides) under Cervus hanglu yarkandensis (Yarkand deer). RNAcentral describes it as "lncRNA (ENSCHYG00000023212.1)". Lineage: Eukaryota; Metazoa; Chordata; Mammalia; Artiodactyla; Cervidae. The record is from RNAcentral.
GGACUGCCUGGCCCCCCAGGCCCUAGGGGCUUCCAAGGUACUGCGGGGGCCAGGGGCAGCCACGGCGAGCGAGGACCCCCAGGGGCCGUGGGGCCCACAGGGCUGCCGGGGCCCAAGGGGGAGCGAGGAGAGAAGGUGAGUGUGCAGAGUCUGGAGUCCGGGCCGACCCUGGGGGAACACAGGGAGGCACUGACCCCCACGCUGCCUGAGCCGUCAGCCACGUGGCCUGUCCUCCCUUGCAGGGAGAGCCACAGUCCCUGGCCACCAUCUACCAGCUUGUGGGCCAGGCCUGCGAGUCCGCCAUCCAGGGACGGUCCCCCUGCUGCCUCGAGUGAGCCCGCAUGUGCCCCUGGAUCCUGGACACCCGACAUCUGACCCCCGGAGCAGCUGGAGAAGAGGGUCCGGAGGUGCAGGGAGAAGCGGCAGAGACCGGGCCUAGAAACCUUCCCUCUGUGCGUCUCCUGUUCAGAUAAACAUGCCUGCUUGUUAAGGGAGGUGGCUGCUCAUUGCCAGGGACCCCCCCAUCCACCCCUUCCCCCACGGAGUGGAGUCCCAGAUUCCCUCCCCCACACGCCUCUCAGAGAGAGGCCGCCUUUUGUCCUUGGCCGUGAGGAUCCCCCCACCAUGGUCUCCCUCACCAGUUUCUUCCUGUGAGGCCACUGAAGCCUCCAGGCCCUGGU